Molecule: unclassified non-coding RNA, 217 nt
Filed under: uncultured Gammaproteobacteria bacterium
Lineage: Bacteria; Pseudomonadati; Pseudomonadota; Gammaproteobacteria
Description: contains 16S-23S intergenic spacer region
Rfam family: Bacterial small subunit ribosomal RNA
Source: RNAcentral
UACCCUUGACAUGUCAGGAAUCCUCCAGAAACGGGGGAGUGCCCGAAAGGGAGCCUGAACACAGGUGCUGCAUGGCUGUCGUCAGCUCGUGUCGUGAGAUGUUGGGUUAAGCCCCGCAACGAGCGCAACCCUUGCCAUUAGUUGCUACAUUCAGUUGAGCACUCUAAUGGGACUGCCGGUGACAAACCGGAGGAAGGUGGGGAUGACGUGAGGAUAG